CACCUAGCUCCUGGGUGGGAGACUCUUGCAGGUUGUGGCCGACCAUACCCCGGAGAAGCUAGUAAACUUGCCUCUGGCAAGUUACCCAGAGGAGCUGCCAAGCCUACCACUCACCAGGUACUCAGAGGAGCCCAUGGUGCUUGACUCCUUGGAAGACUCUGUCCAGAUGCAGGAGAUGACACAUUGGAUAAUAUUUCAAAAGGUGCCCAAGUGACUUACAAGCCUAUAUCCCAUUUUCAAAGUUACUUAGUGAUCCAGGAGACUAAAUCUCAUUGAAGGUUACUGAGACUGGCCAGGUUCCAGCUUCCCAGAGAUCAAACCAGUAGGCAAUGAGAGACCCCGGCGUCUCUUGGAUCUGCAGGAAGGCUCUACUGCUUUUGGUCCAGUCCUGAGUGUUCUUUGUUGUUGUUGUGGGUUUUAUUCUUCUCUCUGGCCGCUACUGCCGUAGGUUUAUAUAUAGCCCCAUAUAUACCUUGAUUAUCCUUACAUGGUAAUAUUUCGGUUUAAGCCUUGCAAUUGGUUUCUUACACUCAUACUAUGUCAUUCAUUCAUUAUAUAUGGAUUACAUAAUCAAUAAACAUGAAUACAAUUUUGUAAUAUA
Mauremys reevesii (Reeves's turtle) is the source of this 601-nucleotide long non-coding RNA. RefSeq lists it as uncharacterized. Lineage: Eukaryota; Metazoa; Chordata; Testudines; Geoemydidae. The record is from RefSeq and is a predicted model, not a curated record. The transcript is spliced from 3 exons.